AGAGAGAGAGCUCAAGGAAGAGAAAACGCAAUGGAGGAGAGAAGAAAGGAGUGCUCUGUCGCCGCUGAAGCUCCACCGCCGCUGCUAGGGCUUGUUGCCGUCGCCGUUCUGCUACCGCCAGGCUGAUGUACCGCCACCGAGGAUCUCGAAUGGGAUGUCUCACCGCCGUUGUGCUCUGUCGCCGCGCUGCCAUCGACUGGAGCUCGUCGUUGAGUUGCUGCACCGUCUCCAAGCCGUUACGUCCCCGCUCAUCUCUUCUUCACCGUCACUGCUCAUCACCAUGGUCGUAUCCUCUGUCACCAGGUAAUGGAAGAUCUCUGUGAGCGCUAUUUUGACCCUAAUUAUUUGAACUUCUUUCACAUGAUAAGAUAUAGAAAAACUUUAAGGGACGAUGAACAAAGAUUUUAACAGGGUCGCUAUUCUAUAGCAUCUGCAGUUCUGCUCUUAAA
This is a non-coding RNA of Arachis ipaensis, 449 nucleotides long. The record is from RefSeq and is a predicted model, not a curated record. Lineage: Eukaryota; Viridiplantae; Streptophyta; Magnoliopsida; Fabales; Fabaceae.